Molecule: ribosomal RNA, 775 nt
Filed under: Amanita elegans
Lineage: Eukaryota; Fungi; Basidiomycota; Agaricomycetes; Agaricales; Amanitaceae
Description: eukaryotic LSU rRNA
Rfam family: Eukaryotic large subunit ribosomal RNA
Source: RNAcentral
CUUUGGCUGUCUGAAUUGUAAUCUAGAGAAGUGCUUACCUGUGCUGGACCAUGUACAAGUCUCCUGGAAUGGAGCGUCAUAGAGGGUGAGAAUCCCGUCUCUGACAUGGACUCCCGGUGCGCUGUGGUGUGCUCUCAAAGAGUCGAGUUGUUUGGGAAUGCAGCUCUAAAUGGGUGGUAAACUCCAUCUAAAGCUAAAUAUUGGCGAGAGACCGAUAGCGAACAAGUACCGUGAGGGAAAGAUGAAAAGGACUUUGGAAAGAGAGUUAAACAGUAUGUGAAAUUGUUGAAAGGGAAACGCUUGAAGUCAGUUAUAUCUGCUAGUGAUCAACCUGGCUUAUUUGCUGGGUGAAUUUUUUAGUAUGAUAGGCCAGCAUCAGUUUUGACUGUCAGAAAAGAGUAUAAGGAAUGUGGCCCCUUUGGGUGUGUUAUAACCUUGUGUUAUAUAUGGCAGUUGGGAAUGAGGGAAAUGCAGCGCGCCAUUUAGGCAGGGUUUUGGGACCCCGUUUGCGCUUAGGAUGUUGGCAGUAUUUUUUGAUGGCUUCAAUCGACCCGUCUUGAAACACGGACCAAGGAGUCUAACAUGCGUGCGAGUGUUUGAGUGUGGAAACUCUUGUGCAUAAUGAAAGUAAAAGUUGAGAUCCCUGUCGUGGGGAGCAUCGACGCCCGGACCUGAGCUUUUAGCAAAGGAUCUGCGGUUGAGCAUGCAUGUUGGGACCCGAAAGAUGGUGAACUAUGCCUGAAUAGGGCAAAGCCAGAGGAAACUCUGGUGGAGG